Molecule: ribosomal RNA, 444 nt
Filed under: Triticum aestivum (bread wheat)
Lineage: Eukaryota; Viridiplantae; Streptophyta; Magnoliopsida; Poales; Poaceae
Description: partial small subunit ribosomal RNA
Source: RNAcentral
AUGAAGGGAUGGCAGAAUGCACGGAUGACUGAUCACUUUAAUGUCUCCAAUGGCCUGAAAAGGAUAGCAAGGGAUCUAAAGAACUGGGAGAUAAACACACUGGGUAAUCUGAAUCAGAAGAUAAAAUGUUUAAAGACUGAACUUGAAGAGGUGAGAAGGAAAGAUAUAUCACAGGAACAAGUAUCACGUGAGCUAUUUUUGAGAGAAAAACUAAAUAGACUAGAGCAGCAACAAGAUACAUACUGGAGACAAAGGGCGCAUGCCAACUGGUUAAAGUACGGUGACAGAAACACAAAGUACUUCCAUGCCUUUGCUUCUGAAAGAAAGAGAAAUAACACAAUAUCCAAGUUGAAAAGGGAUGAUGGUGGUUGGGUGGAAGGCCAAGCAAAUUUGAAGGAACUCAUAUAUGAUUACUUCUCAGCCUUGUUUACAUCCACGCCGUAG